RNAcentral lists this ribosomal RNA (469 nucleotides) under uncultured bacterium. RNAcentral describes it as "partial 16S ribosomal RNA". It matches the Rfam family "Bacterial small subunit ribosomal RNA", at positions 28 to 508 of the family's 1533-position model. The record is from RNAcentral.
GACGAACGCUGGCGGCGUGCUUAACACAUGCAAGUCGAACGGAAAGGCCCUGCUUUUGUGGGGUGCUCGAGUGGCGAACGGGUGAGUAACACGUGAGUAACCUGCCCUUGACUUUGGGAUAACUUCAGGAAACUGGGGCUAAUACCGGAUAGGAGCUCCUGCUGCAUGGUGGGGGUUGGAAAGUUUCGGCGGUUGGGGAUGGACUCGCGGCUUAUCAGCUUGUUGGUGGGGUAGUGGCUUACCAAGGCUUUGACGGGUAGCCGGCCUGAGAGGGUGACCGGCCACAUUGGGACUGAGAUACGGCCCAGACUCCUACGGGGGGCAACAGGGGGGAAUAUUGCACAAUGGGCGGAAGCCUGAUGCAGCAACGCCGCGUGCGGGAUGACGGCCUUCGGGUUGUAAACCGCUUUCGCCUGUGACGAAGCGUGAGUGACGGUAAUGGGUAAAGAAGCGCCGGCUAACUACGUGC